Saccostrea cuccullata (small rock oyster) is the source of this 496-nucleotide long non-coding RNA. RefSeq lists it as uncharacterized. The transcript is spliced from 3 exons. The record is from RefSeq and is a predicted model, not a curated record. Lineage: Eukaryota; Metazoa; Mollusca; Bivalvia; Ostreida; Ostreidae.
UAGCCAGGUCUAUUUCCCCUCCAUUUUGGAAAUAAUAUUACAUUAGUGCUUGAAGCAGCUCUUUUGGGAAAUAAUGCUGAUGACUCAACAGUGAAAGCAAGACAUUAGGACAUUGGUGGUUCUCUCUGUCUGGCAGUCCAAAGUGUGAUUGUGGAAAAAAUACCAUGAAUUAUGGAGGACUAUCUUCGGUGUGUUAGUGUAAGGGCACUCGAAGACUACAUGUCUUGACCACGAUGAAUAUGACUGUACCUAAGCAUCUCUGUGAUAACCUAUGAUUUUUUUUCCUUGGGAGCAAUGUCAUCUUUUGUGGCACGAGAGCUGUUCCCUCAGACUGUGGAAGGCACUUCAGUCUUGACCAUGGAUAUUCUCGCUAAGAAGUUUCGGGAGCAGACGUUGGAAGAAUCCAACAAACAAAAUUCAUCACAAAUUAAAUUUAUCCGUCCCGGGGAAGGUUUUAGACUUAGUCGCAAUGCUGAAGCCAGGCUGGCAGGGGCAG